RNAcentral lists this unclassified non-coding RNA (616 nucleotides) under Hevea brasiliensis (rubber tree). The record is from RNAcentral. Lineage: Eukaryota; Viridiplantae; Streptophyta; Magnoliopsida; Malpighiales; Euphorbiaceae.
AACAUCUCAAGCAUUGCCAAAAUGGUGAUUUUGCAGAUAACCUCAACAUAAUUUUCCAGAAAUGUUACACAAUCUAUCUAUAUAGAAAGACAAAUGCUUCAUCAAUAAGUAGAGGGUAAUAUCAAUUUUUUAUUUUUUUCAUGGCAAAAGAGAGCCGCAGGAUACAAUCAAUUGCCAGAAGGAACCUGAUCCUUUUAGUACUGAUGUCACAAAAUUUCACAUAUUAUCAUUUCCAACUUGCUAUACCUGCCAAAUAUCAUAUAGCAAUAGCAUCUGAAUAGCAAAAAUUUAUAGCAGUAGCAGUACACAGAUCUGAAAUAUUCAUAUGGACAAAAUGAUGACAACUCUUCUUAUAAUGCCAUCCUUCCUACGGCCUCCCCUCUAGAUGCCCAGUUCACAGCAUUAUCCAGCCAACAACAUGGCAUUAUCUUUCAGAAUGGAUGACCCUGUAAAGAAAAAGAAAAGGGAAACAGAAGAAAUUCUGUGGGCCCUAAAAAAAUUAGCCACCAAUUUGUAUGUGUGUUCCAUUUUAUAUGAAUGAUUCCUUCAAUUGUCCUAACUGACUUGCAGAAGAGAGCGUGAGAACAAAAAAAGAUUCUACCACCCCAAAAUGAAG